GAAGCCUGAAAGAAAGUAGGUGAAAGGAAUGGAGUAAGCCGUCAAUCAGCAGUGGUGACCAGGCACCACCAGGGUCGGAGUAAAGUCAUGAAAAAGAGGAAAUCUCAUCUGACUGGAGGAAGUUACCAAAUAUGGGCAGCUUGAUGUUCCUGUGCGCAUCACCUGAGAUUGCCUGUGCACAAUCCCCAGUGAGGCCAGCAUCAUCACCCACGCAGAAGACAGACAGAAAUACAUUUGCCACCCCUGUCCGCUUCUGGAAAUGAAUCUACAUGGAGAUGCAGAAUAUAGUCUGAACUUGUACAGUUCUGUGUGUAGAGGCCAAAACUGUGGCAUGGUUGCUUGUGUGACACAUGAGAAUAUGCAAUUUCUGUUUUCACAUGGAACAUAUUUAUAUAUCAUAACACAUCUGGUCAGUGGGGACUGUAAUAGUACCAGCUUGUAAAGUGAUGGUGAGAGUUAACUAAGUGGUUGUGAGAGUUAACUAGGUGAUUGUGAGAGUUAACUAAGUGGUUGUGAGAGUUAACUAAGUGGUUAUGAGAGUUAACUAGGUGAUUGUGAGAGUUAACUAAGUGGUUGUGGGAGUUAACUAGGUGAUAGUGAGAGCUAACUAGGUGAUUAUGAGAGUUAACUAAGUGAUGGUGAAAGUUAACUAGGUGAUGGUGAAAGUUAU
This is a long non-coding RNA of Peromyscus eremicus (cactus mouse), 670 nucleotides long. RefSeq lists it as uncharacterized. The transcript is spliced from 3 exons. The record is from RefSeq and is a predicted model, not a curated record. Lineage: Eukaryota; Metazoa; Chordata; Mammalia; Rodentia; Cricetidae.